RNAcentral lists this unclassified non-coding RNA (162 nucleotides) under uncultured Chaetothyriales. RNAcentral describes it as "sequence contains ITS2". The record is from RNAcentral. Lineage: Eukaryota; Fungi; Ascomycota; Eurotiomycetes; Chaetothyriales.
UCACCUCUCAAGCCUGGCUUGCUGUUGGACUUUCGGUAUAGCUUUAGCUAGGACCGGUCCCAAAGAUAAUGACGGCGUCUGUGAGGACUCCAGUACACUGAGCUUUGAUUAGCACGUAUUAGGUGGAACUCCAGGCCCGGUCUUACCUAUUUUUCUCUUUAA